RNAcentral lists this long non-coding RNA (216 nucleotides) under Lathyrus oleraceus (garden pea). Its description in RNAcentral is "Pisum sativum (pea) long non-coding RNA (PSAT_LNC021025)". The record is from RNAcentral. Lineage: Eukaryota; Viridiplantae; Streptophyta; Magnoliopsida; Fabales; Fabaceae.
AAAAACUGUACACCCGGCAAGUCGAAAACCCUACAAGGGCGGCCUGGGCAAAAAAGGGUAUCCCGGUGGACUGAAAACCCGAAAGGGCGGUCUAGGAAAAAGAGGGAAUGAAACGAACAACUGCGUCUAGCAUGGUCGUUUGUACUUUCGUUAAGACACAUGGAUAAUCGGAAAGCGGAGAUCGGUCGAAAGCGUCUUGUUUCGGAAAGUGCGGAG